CUGACCUAGCGGCGGACGGGUGAGUAAUGCUUAGGAAUCUGCCUAUUAGUGGGGGACAACAUCUCGAAAGGGAUGCUAAUACCGCAUACGUCCUACGGGAGAAAGCAGGGGACCUUCGGGCCUUGCGCUAAUAGAUGAGCCUAAGUCGGAUUAGCUAGUUGGUGGGGUAAAGGCCUACCAAGGCGACGAUCUGUAGCGGGUCUGAGAGGAUGAUCCGCCACACUGGGACUGAGACACGGCCCAGACUCCUACGGGAGGCAGCAGUGGGGAAUAUUGGACAAUGGGGGGAACCCUGAUCCAGCCAUGCCGCGUGUGUGAAGAAGGCCUUUUGGUUGUAAAGCACUUUAAGCGAGGAGGAGGCUACCGAGAUUAAUACUCUUGGAUAGUGGACGUUACUCGCAGAAUAAGCACCGGCUAACUCUGUGCCAGCAGCCGCGGUAAUACAGAGGGUGCAAGCGUUAAUCGGAUUUACUGGGCGUAAAGCGCGCGUAGGUGGCCAAUUAAGUCAAAUGUGAAAUCCCCGAGCUUAACUUGGGAAUUGCAUUCGAUACUGGUUGGCUAGAGUAUGGGAGAGGGUGGUAGAAUUCCAGGUGUAGCGGUGAAAUGCGUAGAGAUCUGGAGGAAUACCGAUGGCGAAGGCAGCCAUCUGGGCCUAAUACUGACACUGAGGUGCGAAAGCAUGGGGAGCAAACAGGAUUAGAUACCCUGGUAGUCCAUGCCGUAAACGAUGUCUACUAGCCGUUGGGGCCUUUGAGGCUUUAGUGGCGCAGCUAACGCGAUAAGUAGACCGCCUGGGGAGUACGGUCGCAGACUAAAACUCAAAUGAA
RNAcentral lists this ribosomal RNA (827 nucleotides) under uncultured bacterium. Its description in RNAcentral is "bacterial SSU rRNA". It matches the Rfam family "Bacterial small subunit ribosomal RNA", at positions 87 to 909 of the family's 1533-position model. The record is from RNAcentral.